CUGGCCGUAAACGAUGGGUACUAGGUGUGGGAGGUAUCGACCCCUUCCGUGCCGGAGUUAACGCAAUAAGUACCCCGCCUGGGGAGUACGGCCGCAAGGUUGAAACUCAAAGGAAUUGAC
This 120-nucleotide ribosomal RNA is filed under the name uncultured bacterium. RNAcentral's name for it is "partial 16S ribosomal RNA". It matches the Rfam family "Bacterial small subunit ribosomal RNA", at positions 796 to 914 of the family's 1533-position model. The record is from RNAcentral.